GGCCCUAUGGGUUGUAAACUUCUUUUGUAUAGGGAUAAACCUACUCUCGUGAGAGUAGCUGAAGGUACUAUACGAAUAAGCACCGGCUAACUCCGUGCCAGCAGCCGCGGUAAUACGGAGGGUGCAAGCGUUAUCCGGAUUUAUUGGGUUUAAAGGGUCCGUAGGCGGAUCUGUAAGUCAGUGGUGAAAUCUCACAGCUUAACUGUGAAACUGCCAUUGAUACUGCAGGUCUUGAGUGUUGUUGAAGUAGCUGGAAUAAGUAGUGUAGCGGUGAAAUGCAUAGAUAUUACUUAGAACACCAAUUGCGAAGGCAGGUUACUAAGCAACAACUGACGCUGAUGGACGAAAGCGUGGGGAGCGAACAGGAUUA
This 370-nucleotide ribosomal RNA is filed under the name Chryseobacterium sp. RNAcentral describes it as "bacterial SSU rRNA". It matches the Rfam family "Bacterial small subunit ribosomal RNA", at positions 413 to 780 of the family's 1533-position model. The record is from RNAcentral. Lineage: Bacteria; Pseudomonadati; Bacteroidota; Flavobacteriia; Flavobacteriales; Weeksellaceae.